Molecule: ribosomal RNA, 549 nt
Filed under: uncultured Caryophanales bacterium
Lineage: Bacteria; Bacillati; Bacillota; Bacilli; Caryophanales
Description: bacterial SSU rRNA
Rfam family: Bacterial small subunit ribosomal RNA
Source: RNAcentral
UAGAGUUUGAUUCUGGCUCAGGACGAACGCUGGCGGCGUGCCUAAUACAUGCAAGUCGAGCGCGGGAAGCAUUUCAGAUCUCUUCGGAGUGACGAAUGUGGAACGAGCGGCGGACGGGUGAGUAACACGUGGGCAACCUGCCUGUAAGACUGGGAUAACCCCGGGAAACCGGAGCUAAUACCGGAUAAUUUGGGUCACCGCAUGGUGACCGAAUGAAAGAUGGUUUCGGCCAUCACUUACAGAGGGGCCCGCGGCGCAUUAGCUAGUUGGUAAGGUAAUGGCUUACCAAGGCAUCGAUGCGUAGCCGACCUGAGAGGGUGAUCGGCCACACUGGGACUGAGACACGGCCCAGACUCCUACGGGAGGCAGCAGUAGGGAAUCUUCCGCAAUGGACGAAAGUCUGACGGAGCAACGCCGUGUGAGUGAGGAAGGUUUUCGGAUCGUAAAGCUCUGUUGUUGGUGAAGAACCCUCUUGUGAGGAAAUGCACAGGAGUUGACGGUAGCCAACCAGAAAGCCCCGGCUAACUACGUGCCAGCAGCCGCGGUAAU